RNAcentral lists this long non-coding RNA (660 nucleotides) under Marmota monax (woodchuck). Lineage: Eukaryota; Metazoa; Chordata; Mammalia; Rodentia; Sciuridae. The record is from RNAcentral.
UAAGGUAAAAGCCAUCAGUGAAUGGCAGGUAAGUUCAACUCCUAGAGCUGUUUCAUUAUCAAAACUCGUUUAAGCAAAUUUCAGUUUUAUUCCAACACCCUCAAACCUGUUCUGCUAUAAGACCCUCACUUAAUUCCAAUCUUAUUCUGCCAUCAUUUGUAGCCAAAACACUUCAGGCAAGCUAGAAUACGAAAAAUCAUCAUGCUCUCAACCAGUGGCAUGCAUUACUAUUGCAGAAGAGAAUCUAAUAGAUGUCUUACUUGGGAAAAGAAUCCUGGGUCAGGGAAUCCUCUACUCCUGGUGACUAAGACCUCAAACAAUCUUACAGAGCUGAACCAGGAAAUGGAACAGAAUAAUCAGAAGUGAAGAAUGGAAAGUUUGCAAUAUAAGAAAAUGGAAGAAGUUCAAGAAGGAAAUUGGCAAACCGUAAGUUUGCAGAGGAAUGUUGUGGGAGGGAAGCCUAAGAAAUUAUUUCUUAAGAAUGAUUGGGGGUAAUAACUUGGAUGGUUUUCCUAAAAGCUACCUGUCCAACAACAUAAUUCCUUCCUACAGAUUUUUGCUUCCCAGUGUUUUACAGGAAUGUCUGUCAAUCAGAAAUAUAAAAAUUGAGUGUCAGCCCCUUGCUUCUCUGAUCUUUGCUGAGUGUAGACCAAGGAAAAU